Molecule: ribosomal RNA, 301 nt
Filed under: uncultured bacterium
Lineage: Bacteria
Description: partial 16S ribosomal RNA
Rfam family: Bacterial small subunit ribosomal RNA
Source: RNAcentral
CAGUCGCCGCGGUAAUACAGAGGGUGCGAGCGUUAAUCGGAUUUACUGGGCGUAAAGCGUGCGUAGGCGGCUUUUUAAGUCGGAUGUGAAAUCCCUGAGCUUAACUUAGGAAUUGCAUUCGAUACUGGGAAGCUAGAGUAUGGGAGAGGAUGGUAGAAUUCCAGGUGUAGCGGUGAAAUGCGUAGAGAUCUGGAGGAAUACCGAUGGCGAAGGCAGCCAUCUGGCCUAAUACUGACGCUGAGGUACGAAAGCAUGGGGAGCAAACAGGAUUAGAUACCCCCUAGUCCCUGUCUCUUAUACA